This 324-nucleotide ribosomal RNA is filed under the name uncultured eukaryote. RNAcentral's name for it is "partial 18S ribosomal RNA". It matches the Rfam family "Eukaryotic small subunit ribosomal RNA", at positions 1470 to 1796 of the family's 1831-position model. The record is from RNAcentral.
CCCUUAGAUGUUCUGGGCUGCACGCGCGCUACACUGAAGCUAUCAACACGUUUUCCCUCCCUGAGAAGGGCGGGUAACCUUUUGAAUCAGCUUCGUGGUAGGGAUCGGGGCUUGCAAUUGUUCCCCGUGAACCAGGAAUUCCUAGUAGACGCGAGUCAUAAGCUCGCAUCGAUUAAGUCCCUGCCCUUUGUACACACCGCCCGUCGCUACUACCGAUUGAACGUUUUAGUGAGGCAUUUGGACCGACGCAUCUCAGUUUAACCGCUGGUUCGUGUUGGAAAGACUUCCAAACUUGAGCGUUUAGAGGAAGUAAAAGUCGUAACA